Manis javanica (Malayan pangolin) is the source of this 356-nucleotide long non-coding RNA. RefSeq lists it as uncharacterized. The record is from RefSeq and is a predicted model, not a curated record. NCBI's taxonomy places the organism in Eukaryota, Metazoa, Chordata, Mammalia, Pholidota, Manidae.
CUGGGCAUUCGGGGAAAGAGCUAUCCUACAAUUAUACUCGCCCAACCAAUACUUACUGAUGCCCGCGACGUACUAAGGGACAAAGCACAAAACUGGAACCACCUUGUACCCUGCCUGCCUUCAAGUCCUCCGAAGAUUGAGAUUGGACUUCUCCGUUCCCAGGAACCUCUUCUUGACCACACUUUGCUUGUCCUAUUUAGUUUGUGGUUUUCUACAUAAGGCAUCAGUUCAGCCUUGGAUGAAUUGAGAUUGAUAUUCAGCCUCCUCCCUCCCCUGCUGUCCAUUUUAGUGACAUUUUGGUCAUAUAAUCAUUAAAGGUGAAAUUAUUUUUAACAUGUAUUCUUCUUAAAAUUUUA